GAAAAUGCCAUUAGUUUUUCCAUGAAUUACUACAUAGUAUUUAAAACGAGGCCUACUUUUUUCGGCCAUGUAAUGACAUAAAGCAUUCAUAGAUGCCAUGAAAUGGUUUCUAUUUUGUCUGUUAUAAGAAAUCCAGAGGUUAUCGAUUAAACACCUUUGGGGUCUGUCUAAAACAUAGUCUGGUCUUACUCUAAAUGAUAUAUUGCUCUCAGGAUAUGCUAUUAAAUUAAAUGGGCCGAAAUGAAUUCGUUCCAUUGUCU
RNAcentral lists this long non-coding RNA (260 nucleotides) under Capsicum annuum. Its description in RNAcentral is "long non-coding RNA (CANN_LNC014748)". The record is from RNAcentral. Lineage: Eukaryota; Viridiplantae; Streptophyta; Magnoliopsida; Solanales; Solanaceae.